RNAcentral lists this ribosomal RNA (896 nucleotides) under uncultured Bacillota bacterium. Its description in RNAcentral is "bacterial SSU rRNA". It matches the Rfam family "Bacterial small subunit ribosomal RNA", at positions 1 to 863 of the family's 1533-position model. The record is from RNAcentral. Lineage: Bacteria; Bacillati; Bacillota.
UGGACCCAGACUUUGAUUCUGGCUCAGGAUGAACGCUGGCGGCGUGCCUAAUACAUGCAAGUCGAACGAAACUUCUUUAUCACCGAGUGCUUGCACUCACCGAUAAAGAGUUGAGUGGCGAACGGGUGAGUAACACGUGGGCAACCUGCCCAAAAGAGGGGGAUAACACUUGGAAACAGGUGCUAAUACCGCAUAACCAUAGUUACCGCAUGGUAACUAUGUAAAAGGUGGCUAUGCUACCGCUUUUGGAUGGGCCCGCGGCGCAUUAGCUAGUUGGUGGGGUAAAGGCUUACCAAGGCAAUGAUGCGUAGCCGAACUGAGAGGUUGAUCGGCCACAUUGGGACUGAGACACGGCCCAAACUCCUACGGGAGGCAGCAGUAGGGAAUCUUCCACAAUGGGCGAAAGCCUGAUGGAGCAACGCCGCGUGGGUGAAGAAGGUCUUCGGAUCGUAAAACCCUGUUGUUAGAGAAGAAAGUGCGUGAGAGUAACUGUUCACGUUUCGACGGUAUCUAACCAGAAAGCCACGGCUAACUACGUGCCAGCAGCCGCGGUAAUACGUAGGUGGCAAGCGUUAUCCGGAUUUAUUGGGCGUAAAGGGAACGCAGGCGGUCUUUUAAGUCUGAUGUGAAAGCCUUCGGCUUAACCGGAGUAGUGCAUUGGAAACUGGGAGGCUUGAGUGCAGAAGAGGAGAGUGGAACUCCAUGUGUAGCGGUGAAAUGCGUAGAUAUAUGGAAGAACACCAGUGGCGAAAGCGGCUCUCUGGUCUGUAACUGACGCUGAGGUUCGAAAGCGUGGGUAGCAAACAGGAUUAGAUACCCUGGUAGUCCACGCCGUAAACGAUGAAUGCUAAGUGUUGGAGGGUCUCCGCCCUUCAGUGCUGCAGCUAACGCAAUAA